Molecule: small RNA, 495 nt
Filed under: Pan troglodytes (chimpanzee)
Lineage: Eukaryota; Metazoa; Chordata; Mammalia; Primates; Hominidae
Description: retained intron
Source: RNAcentral
UAGAACAUCUUCCUAAACUUCAACCCAGACCAUAUUCGUGUGCAAGCUCAAGUUUAUUUCACCCAGGAAAGCUCCAUUUUGUCUUCAACAUUGUGGAAUUUCUGUCUACUGCCACAACAGAGGUUCUGCGGAAGGGAGUGUGUACAGGCUGGCUGGCCUUGUUGGUUGCUUCAGUUCUUCAGCCAAACAUACAUUCAUCCCAUGAAGACAGCGGGAAAGCCCUGGCUCCUAAGGUAAGAAAUUAGUACCUUAACCUCAGCAUUGUUAACUCAUACUCUUUGUUUGAUUAGAAAAAACAGUGUUGUCUCACCCACAUCAUUCAUUACUAUCAUAAGAAAAUUUAUGCUGUUCUUGAAUUUUAAAAUCUCUAUUGCAAGAGCAGAAAACUGUUUACUUCCAUGUACUCUUUAACUAGUGUGUGUAUUUUCUGAACGUAUAAAGCAUGAAUUUUAUAUAGUACGGUCUUUGCUUGUCCUCUUCAUGGAAAAGAAGACC